Molecule: ribosomal RNA, 800 nt
Filed under: Algoriphagus sp.
Lineage: Bacteria; Pseudomonadati; Bacteroidota; Cytophagia; Cytophagales; Cyclobacteriaceae
Description: bacterial SSU rRNA
Rfam family: Bacterial small subunit ribosomal RNA
Source: RNAcentral
AACGGUAGUUCCGAUUUAUCGGAAUGAGAGUGGCGCACGGGUGCGUAACGCGUAUGCAACCUACCCUAUACAGGGGGAUAGCCCGGAGAAAUCUGGAUUAAUACCCCAUGGUACCAAGUUGAGGCAUUUUGAUUUGGUUAAAGAUUCAUCGGUAUAGGAUGGGCAUGCGUCUGAUUAGCUAGUUGGCGGUGUAACGGACCACCAAGGCGACGAUCAGUAGGGGUUCUGAGAGGAAGGUCCCCCACACUGGCACUGAGAUACGGGCCAGACUCCUACGGGAGGCAGCAGUAGGGAAUAUUGGGCAAUGGACGAGAGUCUGACCCAGCCAUGCCGCGUGCAGGAAGACGGCGUUCUGCGUUGUAAACUGCUUUUAUCUGGGAAGAAAAGGCCCAUGCGUGGGACAUUGCCGGUACCAGAUGAAUAAGCACCGGCUAACUCCGUGCCAGCAGCCGCGGUAAUACGGAGGGUGCAAGCGUUGUCCGGAUUUAUUGGGUUUAAAGGGUGCGUAGGCGGCUAUUUAAGUCAGUGGUGAAAGACUCCGGCUCAACCGGGGCAGUGCCAUUGAUACUGGAUAGCUUGAGUAUUGGAGGGGUACAUGGAAUUGAUGGUGUAGCGGUGAAAUGCAUAGAUACCAUCAGGAACACCGAUAGCGAAGGCAUUGUACUGGCCAAUAACUGACGCUGAUGCACGAAAGCAUGGGGAGCGAACAGGAUUAGAUACCCUGGUAGUCCAUGCCGUAAACGAUGAUUACUCGCUGUUAUGUCUUUAUGAUGUAGCGGCCAAGCGAAAGCGUUAAGUAA